This 186-nucleotide long non-coding RNA is filed under the name Fukomys damarensis (Damara mole-rat). Its description in RNAcentral is "lncRNA (ENSFDAG00000028934.1)". The record is from RNAcentral. Lineage: Eukaryota; Metazoa; Chordata; Mammalia; Rodentia; Bathyergidae.
UAAAAGGAGAUUUUUGAUAUACAUAGGUUAUAACUUUUUUUCCUUCUCUUAAAGGUCCUAUAGUUGCUGUGGAAAUCAAUAAACAAUGGCAUCUAAGAAAUUUGCUGUUAAAUUUUUAUUCGACCUGUGGUGAUGCAGAAUGGCAGACGAGUUGCAAAGUAUCAGGCCAAUGAUGUGUCCCCAGAA